RNAcentral lists this ribosomal RNA (492 nucleotides) under uncultured bacterium. RNAcentral describes it as "partial 16S ribosomal RNA". It matches the Rfam family "Bacterial small subunit ribosomal RNA", at positions 30 to 507 of the family's 1533-position model. The record is from RNAcentral.
AUUGAACGCUGGCGGCAUGCUUUACACAUGCAAGUCGAACGGUAACAGGCCUUCGGGUGCUGACGAGUGGCGAACGGGUGAGUAAUGCAUCGGAACGUGCCCAGAGGUGGGGGAUAACGCAGCGAAAGCCGUGCUAAUACCGCAUGUGAUCUGAGGAUGAAAGCGGGGGACCAGGCAGCAAUGUUUGGCCUCGCGCCUUUGGAGCGGCCGAUGUCAGAUUAGGUAGUUGGUGGGGUAAAGGCCUACCAAGCCGACGAUCUGUAGCUGGUCUGAGAGGACGACCAGCCACACUGGGACUGAGACACGGCCCAGACUCCUACGGGAGGCAGCAGUGGGGAAUUUUGGACAAUGGGCGCAAGCCUGAUCCAGCAAUGCCGCGUGCGGGAAGAAGGCCUUCGGGUUGUAAACCGCUUUUGUACGGAACGAAAAGGCUCUGGCUAAUACCUGGGGCUGAUGACGGUACCGUAAGAAUAAGCACCGGCUAACUACGUG